GGCGGCGUGCCUAACACAUGCAAGUCGAACGGAGAUUACGGACGGAAGUUUUCGGAUGGAAGUUUGUAAUUCUUAGUGGCGGACGGGUGAGUAACGCGUGGGCAACCUGCCCUAUACAGGGGGAUAGCAGCUGGAAACGGCUGGUAAGACCGCAUAAGUCGGUUAAAUCGCAUGAUUUGAUCGGGAAAUGAGCAAUCAGGUAUAGGAUGGGCCCGCGUCCGAUUAGCCAGUUGGCAGGGUAAAAGCCUACCAAAGCGACGAUCGGUAGCCGGACUGAGAGGUCGGACGGCCACAUUGGGACUGAGACACGGCCCAAACUCCUACGGGAGGCAGCAGUGGGGGAUAUUGCACAAUGGAGGAAACUCUGAUGCAGCGACGCCGCGUGAGUGAAGAAGUAUUUUCGGUAUGUAAAGCUUCUAUUCAGC
Molecule: ribosomal RNA, 425 nt
Filed under: Catonella morbi
Lineage: Bacteria; Bacillati; Bacillota; Clostridia; Lachnospirales; Lachnospiraceae
Description: bacterial SSU rRNA
Rfam family: Bacterial small subunit ribosomal RNA
Source: RNAcentral